CUCGCUUCUCGGCCUUUUGGCUAAGAUCAAGUGUAGUACCUGUUGGUGAUGCAGGGAAACACUUGAUCCUCU
RNAcentral lists this small nuclear RNA (72 nucleotides) under Xenopus laevis (African clawed frog). Its description in RNAcentral is "U2 spliceosomal RNA". It matches the Rfam family "U2 spliceosomal RNA", at positions 1 to 100 of the family's 192-position model. From Rfam's summary of the family: U2 is a small nuclear RNA (snRNA) component of the spliceosome (involved in pre-mRNA splicing). Complementary binding between U2 snRNA (in an area lying towards the 5' end but 3' to hairpin I) and the branchpoint sequence (BPS) of the intron results the bulging out of an unpaired adenosine, on the BPS, which initiates a nucleophilic attack at the intronic 5' splice site, thus starting the first of two transesterification reactions that mediate splicing. Lineage: Eukaryota; Metazoa; Chordata; Amphibia; Anura; Pipidae. The record is from Rfam by way of RNAcentral.